CCUACGGGAGGCAGCAGUAGGGAAUUUUGCGCAAUGGGCGAAAGCCUGACGCAGCAACACCGCGUGAAUGUUAAGCCCUUCGGGGUGUAAAGUUCUGUCAAUAGGGACGAAUUUUGACUGUACCUAUAAAGGAAGCACCGGCUAACUCCGUGCCAGCAGCCGCGGUAAUACGGAGGAUGCGAGCGUUAUCCGGAUUUAUUGGGUUUAAAGGGUGCGCAGGCGGAUUUUUAAGUCAGCGGUCAAAUCGUGGGGCUCAACCCCAUCCAGCCGUUGAAACUGGGGAUCUAGAGUUUGCGAGAGGUAUGCGGAAUGCGUGGUGUAGCGGUGAAAUGCAUAGAUAUCACGCAGAACCCCGAUUGCGAAGGCAGCAUACCGGUGCACAACUGACGCUCAGGCACGAAAGCGUGGGUAUCGAACAGGAUUAGAUACCCUGGUAGUC
This 439-nucleotide ribosomal RNA is filed under the name uncultured bacterium. Its description in RNAcentral is "partial 16S ribosomal RNA". It matches the Rfam family "Bacterial small subunit ribosomal RNA", at positions 338 to 795 of the family's 1533-position model. The record is from RNAcentral.